GAGAGUUAAAUAGUACGUGAAAUUGUUGAAAGGGAAACGAUUGAAGUCAGUCAUGCUAGUGAAAAUUCAGUUUGACGGGUUUUAGGUUUGGGAGUAGAGGCAGGGUCAAACCGUUUCUCUUUUGAACUUGGGAUUUGUCAGAUGCACUUUUUCUUUGGCAGGUCAGCGUCGAUUUCGGAGGUUGUAAAAUACUUGGGGUAAAGUAACUCUGCUUCGGUAGAGUAUUAUAGACCUUGAGGGAUGCAGCCUGCGGGAUCGAGGAUUGCAGCAAAUGCCUUUGGCUUGGCGCCUGAUCUCUGGAUGUUACCUCGCUUGUGACAACAUUCUUGCCUCCGGUGAGUACUAAUGCCCAUUAGGUUAGAGCGACCAGAAAUUUGCUAAGGAUGCUGACGUAAUGGCUUUAAACGA
Molecule: ribosomal RNA, 408 nt
Filed under: uncultured Diversispora
Lineage: Eukaryota; Fungi; Glomeromycota; Glomeromycetes; Diversisporales; Diversisporaceae
Description: partial 28S ribosomal RNA
Source: RNAcentral